Eucalyptus grandis is the source of this 752-nucleotide long non-coding RNA. RefSeq lists it as uncharacterized. Lineage: Eukaryota; Viridiplantae; Streptophyta; Magnoliopsida; Myrtales; Myrtaceae. The record is from RefSeq and is a predicted model, not a curated record. The transcript has 2 exons.
GUCUCUCCCUCAAAGACUUUUCCUCGCACUUUCUCUCCGAUUUUCACGCCGAUUUUCUCUCGGCAGUCCGAAUUUUCUCGGCCCCGCACGAAACUUUCUCGCCUCGAUACCAGCUGCGCGAGAAUCCAAUCCGAUCCAAUCCGACGAUGAAGAAAUCCGGAGUCCUGGCGGCCUCGGUCGCGGCGGCCUCUGCCACUGCGAUCACGGCCUCUUCUUCGUCGCCGUCGCCGUCGCCGGCGUCGUCCACCAACUUCAGCUGCAGCUCCAACUUCCAGUUCUCCCGCCAGGGCGACGGCGAGAGGAGGGAUCGAGACGAUGGCGCGAAGCCGAAGCCGGCUUCGGCGGACAAGUUCGCUCCGAAGUUCGACGGGUUGAGGUUCAUCGAGACGCUGGUCACUGCUCACAGAUGAUGCGGAGUGGUCCCCCCGCUCUUCCGAAGGAGCGAGGGAGCACGAAGAAAGCUUUGGUUUUUUCUCUCUCUUCUGUUCCUUCUCUUCUGGGUUCGUACGGGUUUGUCUAGGGGAUUAGCAAGAAGCUUCCUUUAUUUGAGGAAACCAGCGCAUGGUUGGGGGGAUUUGUUGUUUGCAGCAGAAGGCAAAAAAGUUUCCUGGGCUGUAACCUAAAGACACUUCCCUUUUUAAGGAAAAAAAAAUUCAUAUUUUUGCAGCUUGCUGUUUAGCUUUCAUUGUACUGAUCUGAGAAUAUACUGAUGAUAUAUCUAAUGAGACAUGAUCCUGCCCUCUGUUAUGUUC